Dermacentor albipictus is the source of this 797-nucleotide non-coding RNA. The record is from RefSeq and is a predicted model, not a curated record. NCBI's taxonomy places the organism in Eukaryota, Metazoa, Arthropoda, Arachnida, Ixodida, Ixodidae.
UCAUAGCAGUAGACCUUUUGUGAAAGCUGUGCAGUAACACUGAUAUUGGCUAGUUAAUAAUCCCGGCUGUUACGAUGUCUAGCUCGUAUACGGGGCGCUCUAUGUGGCCGAAACAAGGGCUCAGAUCACUACAACCGCAUGCGAAAUAGCUCUGAAUGCCUGCCAGUACACUUGUUCGGCGUCUCUGUGGUCAGCCAGUGACAAACGCAUUGCACGAAACAGUGAGACUUUGUUUAAUCCGCAAUGCUUAUGUGGCGAACAGGAGAGCAAAAGGUGAAAACAAUGUUUUCAUACAAGGCAAGUUAUCCAUGUAGUGGAAUUGCAUUUAUCGUUGGUGUAGUGUUGAUGCACUUUCUGAAGUCCAACCUUUAAUGCAACUUAGUUUUCGUUGGUGCAAGUGCUUCUACUGGAAACAUCCAAAAUAUGAUUUAACAAAUCAGGUUGCUGUCUUGUAGUUUUAGAAAUUUUCCUCUGGUCUUAAGUCUUUUCUGAAUCUGGAAGAGCUGGCUGAUUGCACAUUUCAUCUCGAGAUAGCUCGCACACUUCCAGCAGCACAGCUGUCGUCUUCUCGGAAGCAGGCACUGAUGCUUGGAGACCGGCAGAGCACAAACUGCAGCAUGUAUGCCGAAAUAAAUAGCUAUUGCCUAUUUCAAAUAGAACCAAUGUAAGGUGUGGCGAGCCCGGGAGACAGCAAGAGCCGCAGGAGUCCUGGACUAAGGGCGCCUCCCACACAAGCAGAAAGACACCUGCUUUUCCUUUCUUUUCUGUAAUAAAUGUUUUUUCUUCUCCUCCUCCUC